This is an RNA transcript of Rosa chinensis, 2153 nucleotides long. RefSeq lists it as uncharacterized. Lineage: Eukaryota; Viridiplantae; Streptophyta; Magnoliopsida; Rosales; Rosaceae. The transcript has 11 exons. The record is from RefSeq and is a predicted model, not a curated record.
CUGUUAACAGCGCGUGGCGUACAAACGCUGACAGAACAGUGGCAAACCAAAAAAAGGCGUGUUUGACUCGGUUAAAAAGUUUUACCAUCUCUCUUUAGGGCUGUUUUGAGUUUACAGGAGACUCGCCGUUUUCGUUUUCAGUUUUCAUUUGCAGUCACCAUCCAGCCACGGCUCCAAAGUGCAAACCGAAACCGAGCAAUAAGCCAAUAACAGACGGCAGCAAGAGUUGAUCUUCGUCCACAGCAAGAGUAGAGUUCCACAAAUCCCCUCGAUCGGAAUACCGCUUUUCUGAGAAAGCCCCCGUCAAUUUGGAUCCGAUUGUUUGGUUAGGAGGCGGCGCUGAAGAAUGAAAAAUGACCGGGCUUGAGAAACGAAACCCGAAAUCGAAAUCGAGAAUUGGUAGAGUUCCACAAAUCCCCUCAAUCGGAAAACCGCAUUUCUGACAAAGCCCCCGUCAAUUUCGAUCCGAUUGUUUGGGUAGGAGGCGGCGCUGAAGAAGGAAAACGGAACGGGCUUGAGAAAUGAAACCCGAAAUUAAACCUGGCCUUUGGGAAAAAGUCAAAAUCGAGGUCACCCAAUUCCAGACGAGGGGACGCUGCCCAAGUGAAUUGCGUGCAACAUUAUGUCAGGAUUAGUCUACAUUUCUCCUGCAAUUGGUAGAGUUCCACAAAUCCCCUCCAUCGGAAUACCGCAUAUCUGACAAAGCCCCCGUCAAUUUCGAUCCGAUUGUUUGGGGAGGAGGCGGCGCUGAAGAAGGAAAACGGACUGGGCUUGACAAACGAUACCCGAAAUUCAGCAUGGCCUUGGGGAAGAGGUCGAAAUCGAGGUCACCGAAUUCUGGACGAGGGAACGUUGCCCAAGUGAAUUGCGUACAAACAGUCAGGACGGAGCCUCAGUGUAAAUGGAGAAGAGCUACGGGAGUUAAGAAGGGAAAAGGUGGGCAUGAAAUACGCUCGGAUGUGAGUGGAGAAACAGAUGUGCGGAAUGCAGAAAAGUCAUAUUGUGGUGCAUUAGGAGGACACCCUUGUAAAAUGAAUACAUAUAAUGGGUCAGAAGGGGUUGAGUCUAUGAAGCUAAGGGUUGGUGAGGUGAAAUUAAUAAUUGGGAGGGUGACACAAACAACUGCUUGUUUGGAGCGUGAGUUGGAGAGAAUGGGUGAAAAAGUGCGGCAUAUCGAACAAUCUAUGUCUGAUAUUGUUAGUGAUGCAGCCAUCGAAGAUAUUGUUAAUGAGGUUGUGGAAGCUGUAAGUGCUAGAGAAAGGGGGAAGAAGAUAUACAUGCAAAAGGGAAUGGGAAUUCCCCGAACAACGAGCGUAACUCGGUUUAGGAAGGGCAAUAUAGAAGCACACAAACAUGUUAAACGUUUGGUUGAUGAUAUGGAGGUGAAGCGGCUGAAGAGUAAAGGCCGAAAAGUCGAAAACAGAUGCAUCAGAGCACGAAACGAAAUUUUUGUGCAUUUGCAAAUGAAGGUGUGAUGUCAGGGAAGAAUGCUGAUCUAUUGAGGUUCCUAUUUCGUAAAAACUUUGUAGGUGAAGAGAAGUGGAGCAACAACCCCUCAAAUGAGAUGCCGAAUGAGCUAUUUCCUGCUGCCAUUGAUGCGACUGACAUGACGGAAUCAACCGAGGGCACCUCUAAACAGUUAAUUUUAUGCAACUAUUUAUUGGUGUCUUCAGGUAGGGGUUGUAUUGGUUCUUCUCCAAUUGUCAGUGAAUUAUAGAAAUUCAGGAACUACGUUAACAUGAUUCAUUUAAACUUAUCGCAAUGCCGGCUUGGGAUCAUGCCGUUUGUAUUAUGUGUACUUGAAGCAUGCAGAAGGGCAACUGACUAGAAAGGGAAUCAAGUUGAUCUUGCAGCAGAUGAAGCCGGAGGGAGGAGUAUAGCUCAAGGGCUCUAUCCAAAAAAAAAAGGAUUACGCAGUGCUUGGCAUCACACUUGGGUAAGGAGAUUUACGAAGGUUGUCGUGGUUAUGAGUCCAAAGGAAAACUAUGGUACUGCUUGCUUAUACUGCUAAAAAAACUGUCAUCAAAAUAAAGUCGGCGCUGCAACACUGGAAUUUGUGUAUUUACAAUUUUUCAAUGUAGUUUCUUGCCGAACCAAAAUUUGUACAACUACUGUGGGUUUUUGAGUAAUGCUGCGAGAUCCCUGCUUGUGUA